Molecule: ribosomal RNA, 253 nt
Filed under: uncultured bacterium
Lineage: Bacteria
Description: partial 16S ribosomal RNA
Rfam family: Bacterial small subunit ribosomal RNA
Source: RNAcentral
AACGUAGGGCGCGAGCGUUGUCCGGAUUUAUUGGGCGUAAAGAGCUCGUAGGCGGCUUGUCGCGUCGACUGUGAAAACCCGCGGCUUAACUGCGGGACUGCAGUCGAUACGGGCAGGCUAGAGUUCGGUAGGGGAGACUGGAAUUCCUGGUGUGGCGGUGAAAUGCGCAGAUAUCAGGAGGAACACCGGUGGCGAAGGCGGGUCUCUGGGCCGACACUGACGCUGAGGAGCGAAAGCGUGGGGAGCGAACAGG